Parelaphostrongylus tenuis is the source of this 75-nucleotide non-coding RNA. The record is from the annotation of a GenBank genome assembly. NCBI's taxonomy places the organism in Eukaryota, Metazoa, Nematoda, Chromadorea, Rhabditida, Metastrongylidae.
GCGUCGGUAGUUAAACGGUUUAGAGCACGCGCUCCCUGAUAGAGUGAGAUGUGGGUUUGAGUCCCGCUUGACGCA